GUUUACGGCCAUACCACCUUAGGCACGCCCGAUCUCGUCUGAUCUCGGAAGCUAAGCAGGGUCGGGCCUGGUUAGUACUUGAAUGGGUGACCGCCUUGGAAUACCAGGAGCUUUAAGCA
This 119-nucleotide ribosomal RNA is filed under the name Gadus morhua (Atlantic cod). Lineage: Eukaryota; Metazoa; Chordata; Actinopteri; Gadiformes; Gadidae. The record is from RNAcentral.